UUUUGGUCACCUGACUUCCUGUUGGUGUUGCUGAGCUUAGUUGCGGGUUACUUUUCCGAAGCCUCCAUCGCAGCUGAUGCGGAGUGCCGACGUGGAGGAGACCAGGGUGCCUUGGUGGUGGGAUCCUCUGAGUGUACACACCUGCCUUGUUUAAUUUAUAGUGAUAAAAGCAAAGCAGCAGCUACUUUGGUGUGGGAUUCCACAGCUGUGUUACAGAGAUGGAGGAAGAGUUACAGGAACUCAGGGACUUGAUCGCGCAGCUGAAAGCAGACAAUGAGAGGCUGCGCCAGGAGAGGGCUGUUGAGUCAGAUGCGGAGUGCCGACGUGGAGGAGACCAGGGUGCCUUGGUGGUGGGAUCCUCUGAGUGUACACACCUGCCUUGUUUAAUUUAUAGUGUGAGUGUGUGAUAGUGUGCUGCACUUGUGUCUUGGUGUAUUUUCUUCUUUUUGAGUUUGUGUGUGGCAUCCCUGCCCUCCACUGGUAAGCCUCAGCUCUGAAUACC
Oreochromis aureus is the source of this 502-nucleotide long non-coding RNA. NCBI's taxonomy places the organism in Eukaryota, Metazoa, Chordata, Actinopteri, Cichliformes, Cichlidae. The record is from Ensembl.